GCGGCAAAAUGUGACGCCCACUGCGCAUGCGCACACAUCUGAGACGAUGAAAUGGGGCAGACAGGGUAUGCCUGUAUAUACGGCUGCUAGAGAUACAUUAUCUUUCUCUGGGUACGACACUGAGUGGGCUUUUGACUUUCUGUUUGGCCGAUCUCUUGUCGAGUCAACAAAGCUUACACACAGAAAAGAGAAAAGGCUAAGGAAGCGACAUCGAAUGUGGCAGCGGAGAAGAAUGCUGGUGCUGCGGACUGCGGACUGGGGAGAAGGUGCCAUCACAAGAAGGCUUUAACAAUUAGUCACCGUUGCGCAUUGAGCGCUUACAGAGCUCACUGAAAGAAGAUGGAGAAUACAACAAGGUGAAGGAUUAGCACUCCAGUCCGCCAGUGGAGCUCUAAAUAUCUACCUGUCCAUACCUCUCGGACAAAUCCACCAACGAUUCUGCAAUUUUUCACAUUCUAAUUGCUCGUCAUCUCAUUAACCACAAUUCUUUUGUCUCCCCAGCCCACACCUCUAAACCCUCCCUCCCUCCUCUCCCUUGACCGAAAAGCUGCCGGCUAAGAGGUUUUUAAUUAUGCUGCCUCCGCUAAUGACGCGCGCGGCCAAAAGAAAAAAUAAAAACAUUGCAAAAAUUAUUAUUAACCAAAAUACGAAUAUAUACGUAUAUAAAAAAAUGCUUGGCUAUAUAUAAAAACAAUUAUCACUGUACGCAAGUAAAUGAACUCCGCACCAGACAAAGGGAGAAUUUUUUGUUUAAACCAGAUGCUAUAAAUGCCCUCAAAAAAGGUUUUCGUUUUUGCGCUGGAAAAUCUGUUCAAGUUGAUGGAUUUCAUUGAAAAUAUGCUCAAAACUGAUUAAUCUAAAAAUAAUGGAAAAACGUAGACCCGAAGGGGAUGGCAGAGGAAACUGAUAAUAAAAAUGAUACUCUUUUAAAGAGAUAUAAAAGAUUCACAUCUCCAUUUUUCACUUCCUAUUCAAAUGCUAAUU
Molecule: long non-coding RNA, 984 nt
Organism: Drosophila miranda
Lineage: Eukaryota; Metazoa; Arthropoda; Insecta; Diptera; Drosophilidae
Exons: 3
Source: RefSeq, a predicted model, not a curated record